RNAcentral lists this long non-coding RNA (12702 nucleotides) under Homo sapiens (human). RNAcentral describes it as "HSALNT0319270". The record is from RNAcentral. Lineage: Eukaryota; Metazoa; Chordata; Mammalia; Primates; Hominidae.
GUGCGUGGCGUGUCCGCUGGACCAGGGGACGGGGGCGCGCCGCAGGUGUAGGAGCUUUGCGCGCCUACCUGGCGGUCGUGGGUCGAGGAGGGGUCAAGAAUUGUUGUCUAGCAGCCCUCUCCCCGCUGCCCUGUCCUGGCCGAGGCAAAGGCCGCGUGCGCUCCGCGUCUGCCAGGCUUUAGGGCUGCGCGGACACUGGGUGGGUGGUGGGCCGAGGCGACCGGAAGGUCCUGGCCGCCUUUCCGGUCUCCUCAGCACCCUGGAGCGCCGCCCUCGGGUUUCGGUCUCCUGGAUCUGCGGGUCGGUCUCGGCGGGCGGAUUACUCCUCGCCCACAACCUCGAGGCCCCGGGGUCAACCGCGCCCUCCGGGCCGGCAACCCAGGGUUUAGUCAGAUUCCUCCUGACCCACCGCUUCUGGGAAAGAGGCGCCUCCCGUCAGGAGGAUGCUGAGUUCCUCAUGACUGGACCAGUGAGUGUCCACUCCCUGGUCCCUGGCGAGAGAGGCGGGACCCCCACGCCCUCCUGGCGCUCUUUGCAGAGAUGUUCCUCAGGCCCAAUCCGGGAUUUGGGAUGUCUGUGCGUGCUGUGGAGCAGAGAGUUUGCAACAUGGUCUCACUUUGUCACCCAGGCUGGAAUGCAUUGGCAUGAACACGUCUCACUGCAGCCUCAACCUCCCAGGCUGAAGUGACCCUCCAACUCUGCUUUCACAGUAGCUGUGAUAUGGUUUGGCUGUGUCCCCACCCACAUCUCAUCUUAAAACCCAGUGGGAGGUCCAGAGGCCUAGGAGGAAAAAGUGGUUUUGUGGGCAGCACCCAGGGUCCCCAUGCUAUGUGCAGCCUAGGGACUUGGUGCCGUGCGUCUCAGCUCCUCCAGUGGUGACUGAAAGGGGCCAACAUAGAGCUCGGGCUGCUGCUUCAUGGGGUGGAAGUCCCAAAUCUUGGCAGCUUCCAUGUGGUGUUGAGCCUGCGAGUACAUAGAAGUCAAGAAUUGGGGUUUGGGAACCUCCAUCUAGAUUUCAGAAGAUAUAUGGAAAUUCCUGGAUGCCCAGGCAGAAGUUUGCUGUAGGGGUGGGGCCUUCAUGGAGAACCUCUGCUAGAGCAGUGCAGAAGGGAAAUGUGGGGUCGGAGCCCCCACACAGAGUCCCCGCUGCGGCCCUGCCUGAUGGAGCUGUGAGAAGUGGACCACCGUUCUCCAGACCCCAGAAUGGUAGAUCCACCGACAGCUUGCACCGUGUGCCUGGAAAAGCUGCAGACACUCAAUGCCAGCCUAUGAAAGCAGCCUGGAGGGAGGCUUUACCCUGCAAAGCCACAGAAGUGGAGCUGCCCAAGACCAUGGGAAUCCACCUCUUGCAUCAGUGUGACCUGGAUGUGAGACAUGGAGUCAAAGGAUAUCAUUUUGAAGCUUUAAGAUUUGACUGCCCUGCUGGAUUUCAGACUUGCAUGGGUCCUGUAGCCCCUUUGUUUUGGCCAAUUUCUCCCAUUUGGAAUGGCUAUAUUUACCCAAUGCUUAUACCACCAUUCUAUCUAGGAAGUAAAUAACUUGCUUUUGAUUUUACAGGCUCAUAGGCAGAAGGGAUUUGCCUUGUCUCAGAUGAGACUUUGGACUGCGGACUUUUGAGUUAAUGCUGAAAUGAGUUAAGACUUCGGAGGACUAUUGGGAAGGCAUGAUUGGUUUUGAAAUGUGAGGACAUGAGAUUUGGGAGGGGCCAGGGGUGGAAGGAUACGGUUGGGUUCUGUGUCCCCACCCAAGUCUUAUCUUGUAGCUCCCAUAACCCAUGUGUCUUGGGAGGGACCUGGUAAUUCAAUCAUGUGGGCUGGAUGCGGUUGCUCAUGCCUGUAAUCCCAGCACUUUGGGAGGCCAAGGGGGAGAUCACUUGCGAUCAGGAGUUUGAGACCAGCCUGGCCAACAUGGUGAAACCCCAUCUAUACUAAAAAUACAAAAAUUAGCCAGGCACGGUGGUGGGCACCUGUAAUCUCAGCCUCCCGUGUAGCAGGCAUUGUCACAGGCGCCUGCCACCACACCCACCUAAUUUUUUUGUAUUUUUAGUAGAGACGGGGUUUCACCGUGUUAGCCAGGGUGGUAUCGAUCUCCUGACCUUGUGAUCCGCCCACCUUGGGCUCCCAAAGUGUUGAGAUUACAGGCGUAAGCCACUGCACCCGGCAAUAAACCUCUUUCUUUUGUAAAUUGCCCAGGUAUGUCUUUAUCAGCAGCAUGAAAAUGGACUCAUACAAUGAUCCAUUACCUAGGGUAAAAUUCUCCUGAAUGUCAAACAGAGAUAAACUACAUUUGGGUUUUGGGUAAGUCCCCUGUAAUGAUGAAUCAAGAAUCCUCAAGUCUGUCUUGCCACCCAUUUAAUACGUAUUUUUGUUAAGGCUGAAGUUUAGAGUUAGAAUCAGGACAUUUUGGCCUAUUGAGAGGUUCUGAAUUCCAACAGAAGAUGCCAUGUAAAUCAGUGAAUUUGAUUCUUUUAAAAGCAACUUACAAAAUUUACAAGAUGUAUUCAAUAAAGCAGUUUAGCUUUGGUAUAUCAAACCUUAUAAUGAACCAUUUUUCCCACUUCAUCUUAUGCAAUGUUUAAUAUUUUCUAUUUUUGUCAAGGAUAUUAAACCUACACCUGGAAACAUAUUAAAUGCCAACUUAAAAUGUGAGAAGUUUGGCAGAACUCAGACCCAUUCUUCCAAUUUCCAAGCUGUUUAAUCACACUGAUUCAGACACUCUGGAUAGCAGCUGGGAUUGUAGUUAUCUUUAUGCUUUGAGCUCUCUAGUUUUGUCUACACAUCUUAUAAAAUAUCCCCUCCUCAUUCUCCUCUAGCUGGAACACUAACCCAAUGGAUGUUGUGGUGAACUUUCUUUGACCAGGCAGAGAAGUGCAGCAUUGGGUGGACCAUGCACAACCAGUUUGAGAAGCACUGCUCUAGGGGUUGGGGGAGCAACAAUAGAAAGAGUGUAGGUUCUGAAUACCUGAAGCAUACAUUUUAGCUCUAGACUGCUUAUAUUGUUGUUACAUGAAAGAGAACUUUUAAUCUGGUUUAAACCACUGGAUCUCUUUAUUCCAGCAAGUGAAUCUAUAUCCAACUAAUAUUUACUCCCAGUCUGUUCUUUCUCACCCCUCUUUCCCUUACUAUAAACCUUUUCUAUAUCAAUUUAUAUCAUUAGUUGCUCAGCCCACAAACCAGAUGUCACUUUUGUUUUCUCUUUUCCUUCCCAUUCAUAGCCAGGCCAUCGUUGUGACUUAUUGGCUGUACCUCCAAAAUAUAUCCCAGAUCUGAUCUCUUCUUAUAAUUUGUACUGCUACAACCUUAGUCAAAGCCACUAAUAUCUCUUAUCUGAACUCCAGUGGUUUACUAGUUUUCUGCCUCUCUUCUUGACACAAUUCAUCUUUCUACAUAGCAGCCAGAGUAAGAUAAAAUCAUAAAUCAGAUCAUAUAACUUCUACCCCCUGUACCAAUGGCUAUCUUUUAUACUCAGAAUAAAAUCCAAAACCUUUAUUUGGCUUCCAAGAUCCUACAAGAUAGAGACCUUACUUCUCAUCUUGUACCCAUCAUUUGAUCUUCAGUCCCUUGAAAAUGCCAAGUCUAUUUCCAUUUCAGGGCCUUUGUGCUUGUUACUAUUGUUUCUUUUCUCUUGGAAAACUGCCCAGAUCUUUCCUUAGCUGAAUUAUUCAGAUCCCAACUCAAAUAUCAUCUCUUUAGAAAAUUCUUUCAGAACCAGGUGUGGUGGUGCACACCUGUAAUCUCAGCUACUCGAGUGGCUGAGGCUGAUGGAUUUCUUGAGCCCAGAAGUCUGAGGCCAGCCUGGGCAAUAUAGCAAGAUCCUGUCAAAAAGAAAAAGGUAUCUCACCAUGAUUAUAUUUUAAUUUCCCUUCAGCAAUUAGAAGUCCCUGAAAUUAAUUUACCUUAUUUGUUGGCAACCUCUGCCUCCUGGGUUCAAGCGAUUCUCCUGCCUCAGCCUCCUGAGUAGCUGGGAUUACAGGCGUGCACCACCACGCCUGGCUAAAUUUUGUAUUUUUAGUAGAGAUGGGGUUUUGCCGUGUUGGUCAGGCUGGUCUCGAACUCCUGACCUCUGAUCUGCCCACCUCGGCCUUCCAGAGUGCUGGGAUUACAGGCAUGAGCCACCAUGGGCCCACAAAGCUAUUUUACUUAGCAUUUUUUUUCCCGAGGCUAAAUUGGGAACUACUGACAAUACUAUUGACAAUACUAAAUAUAUUUUUAAAUUAUUUUACUUAUUUUUGAGACAGGGUCUCACUGUGUCACCCACGCUGUAGUGCAGUGAACCAUCACCACUCACUGCAGUCUCACCCUUCCUGAACUCAGGUGAUCCUCCCACCUCAGCCUCCUGAGUAGCUGGGACUACAGGCAUGCACCACCAUGCCUGGCUAAUUUUUAAAAUUUUUUGUAGAGAUGGAGUUUCGCCAUGUUGCCCAGGCUGGUCUCAAACUUCUGGGUUCAAGUGAUGCAAGUGUCUCAGCCUCCUAAAGUGCUAGGAUUACAGGCGUAAGCCACUAUGCCCAGCCUUUUAUUUUAUUUUAUUUUAUUUAUUUAUUUUUUGAGACAGAGUCUUGUUCUGUUGCCCAGGCUAGAGUGCAGUGGUGCAAUCUCAGCUCACUGCAACCUCUGCCUCCCAGGUUCAAGCGAUUAUCAUGUCUCAGCCUCCCUAGUAGCUGGGAUUACAAGUGUGCACCACACGCGGCUAAUUUUUGUAUUUUUUGUAGAGGCAGAGAGGCAGGGUUUUAUUAUGUUGGCCAAGCUGGUCUUGAACUCCUGGCCUCAAGUGAUCUGCUCACCCCGGCCUCCCAAAGUGCUGAGAUUACAGGUGUGAGCCACCAUGCCCACCAACCUAUUUUUUAUUUUAAAAAAUUGACAGCAUACUAAAUGUUUGUAAUGCAAAUGAUAAAAUUGCUACAAUGAAAACAAGAAGUUGAGAAUUAGAUGAAGAGUUGAUUAAGGGAACUAUGAGUCACUGUGUUAGAGCAUGUAUAUUAUGAAAAUUAUAGCAGAAGUGAUAAAGGGUGACAAUUGUUACCUAUCUUCAAUCAAAAGCUCUUUGAAUAUCUUUCUUUUUUUUAAUUUUAUGAAUUUUUUUUACAGAGACAGGGUCUCACUAUAUUGCCCAGGUUGGUCUCGAACUCCUGGGCUCAAGGGAUCCUCUUGCCUUGGCCUCACAAAGUACCUGGAUUACAGGCAUGAGCCACAGUGCCUGGCCCUCUUUGAAUAUCUUUAAUGCUUUUAGAGAUUAGCAUCAGAGAAUUAUUAAUACUAGAGGGCACAAGGAAUUAGCCAUUGCCAGUGGACACCUACAUAGGUGUGACUAUGUGACUCAGUUUUAAAAAUGUGACACAAUGAAAAAAUUCCUUGGAUGUUAUGGAGGACGAAAAUUUUGUAAGUCCUAUCCAUUCUUUAAUGGAGAAACUAAAAUUUACAAUAUUACUUUAUUUAGCCCAAGAUUUUCUUAAGCUUUGUAUUUUCUAAUUCAGCUUUGGCUUACAGAAUCAUGCUUGAAGUUUGAGACUGCCAGCUUUCAACAGGCAGUUACUAGUGAAACUCUUUGGAAAGAUGAGAAGAUGUUGACAUAAGUGUAAUGUGAGACAAAGCAAAGUAAAAUGUAAUUUUUAAGAAAAUGUUGCCGGGUGUGAUGGUGGCUCAUGUUGCUGUUGGUUGCUAUGGGAGUGAACGAAGGGGGACGAAUGCAGAAAUGAAGACAAAGACAAAAAGAGUAUUUUUGGAAGAAGGGGUCAGGGGACUCCUUGCUUCUAGUGGGCAAGGGCCCUGAGCUUCUACAGCCCUUCAUAUUUAUUAGGUAGAAAGAGCAGGGAGGGAGAGGUAACAGUUGGUCAGCUGCUUGAUUUAUCACAGGUACACAUAAUUGCUUCCUUUGUACAACAGGCUUCAGAUGUUACUAUAGAUAAUCACAAGGAACACUGCGCUUGGGGCAUGACUGCCCUCAGCAACCCUUCUGGCGGCAGACACAGUUGUUAGUUUUCCAACAUCCUGCUUUCAUGAGAACAGUUUUCUGUUUGCUCAUAUAGCCUUCAGUGGUAUACUGAGUUGGUCACGACCUUCAUUCUUUCGGCCUGUAACAUCUCCCCAUUUUUGUUUUUGCAUUAAUUGAAUAAAGGUAAUUGCAGGUUGUGCAGCUCUCAAUUGCCGUUUGGUGGUCCAGCUGAUUUUGCAGACUGUUAACAAAAAACAAAAAUAUAAUAACAUUAAUCCCAUAGUUACAAAAAAGACAUUGAGAUGCUAUUUGAAGUAGGUCCCAGGGUUAAGGCUGUCUAAACCUUGCUGGAAUUCUGCCCAAGCUUUUAAAGAGGGCUGAAACGCUUGAGUCUGCUUAUUCAAGUUAAGGAUUUUACUUUGUAAAUCAUUAAUAUCAAAAGUAACAUUGAAUGUGAAAGCUCCCUGUAAAUGGGCUUUUACAAGGCUCAAUGGAUAUUCACUUUGGUUAUAUACCAAAUUGGUCACACAAAUAUGAGUAUGAUUAAAAUGACAACGCAUUGCUGCUGCAACUGCAAACUUUGUACUUGUUCCCCUAGCCAUAGAACAGUAGUCUUUAACAUUGCCACCUCUGUUUGUAUUUCGGUGUUAAUUUUAUUUUGAAGCAUCCAUGCCUGGUCGACUGUGCAUGUCCAGUUUUCCACAUAUUGAGCUGUUUGAAUGGAGCUGUGCGUUGCUGCUGAGGACAACACAACAGAGGUUAUUAAUGUAACUAAGGAGACUAUAACAAAAAUUAUCAUGCCUAAGGCUCUAUGAGCACGAUGAGUAAGCGGAGUAAAAAGGAGUUUCAUAAGAUGUAAAGCGGGGGUGGCUGCCCAAGGCUAAGAUAAAUUUACAGGAAUUCAUAAUCCAGGAACAUGACCUAGAAUUGUUAGGGUGGAUAUGUCAUGUGUUUGUAUUGUGCUAUGAUUAAGGCAAUGAUACAGUUGACAGGAAUCACAAGUCAAUUGGGCAUCAUCUACCUGGAGGUGGGUUUUUUUUGCUGCUAAGAAAAUAUAAGGAUUAAAAACAAAUUGUAAAUUGAGUGGUAAUAUUUUCUACAAGGGUAACAUUAAAACUGUGUUUAGCACAAUUACUAUUAUUGGAUAGUGUCCCAAUCCAAAUGCUGCCAUUCAUAAAUGGGAGUGCUGCUUUCCAUAUUGACUCCUGAAUUGGACCUCUCUUUCCUUGAUAAUGCCAUUGAGGCAAAGGUGAGCUAAAGCAUGUGCUGUGUCAAGCAAUUUGGGCAGCAGAUUGAGAUUGAAUUGCAAUGUGAUGUAGUGGGAGAUGUUAAAGUUUUGCCACCAGUUCCAGCAAAGUUAAUGCCAUGAGGUCUGAUGCUCAUGUCUCCCAACCAAAUGACCAUGGGGACCCCAGUAAAUAAUGUCUCCCAUUAGCAUGGACUGUUGUCUAGCUAGGGAGCUAAGACACGGGGUCCAAGGAGGGGGGUUAGAAUUAUCAAAGGGAGCCCAUUCUAUAUAAUUAAUACAAUUUGGGUGAUGGGGCCGGGAGUGAUUAGUAACUACACCAGUAAUAUUAGUAGAACUAAGGCCCAAUAGGUACGUAAAUUUUCCAUGGUAACUCAACCAUGCCUGGGAUUGAAUUGCAAGGCAACUGCAGUUGAGCAGUGUAUCCUGGGUGAUGCAUAAAGAAAGGCCCUCCAAUGGAGUGGUAUAAUUGAUACCAUUGUUCUGAGAGUCUAAUUGCUCUGUGUCAGGGGGAGUUAAGGGUCCCGGUGCCCAUGCUCCUUGAUCAUGAUAUAUCUCAGGAGGAGUGUCACCCCGGUCAUACUACCGGGGGGUUAGGAACAUAAGCCCAAUAUGUUUUUGCCUCUGCACAGGGAAAACAUAGCACACAGGAUAUCAUAGCUAGCAUGGCCAUAAACAUGGAGUCAGGGGUUUUUGCCUGACCCUGAUGCUCCAGCAGUUUCUCAUCUUCUUGUGUGGUUUUCUUGAUCUGUAAAACACAAGCAUACCCUCAUCCCCAUGUCAGUAAAUCUACCAGGCCUUUCCAUUGUCCUUCUUCCAGGGAUUUCCAUAAUACUUUUGGGUAAACUUUCCUUUUUCCCUCUAACAUUUGCCAGUGUCAUUCUACCGGAGUCUUAUUAUCUGUACCAGGAGUUAAAAAAUUUAAAGUAAAUAAUGCUAAAUGUAGUAUUGUUUGAGGUGGUAACUGGUCUCCUAUACCUCCUUUUUGUUUUUUCAGCGCAUGUUGUAAUGUUUGAUGUGCCUGCUCUAUAAUUCCUUGUCCUCGAGGGUUAUAAGGAAUUCUUGUUUUGUGAGUGACUGCCUAUAACUGUAAACAAUUUUGAAAAGCAUGACUAACUUAAGCAGGUCCAUUGUCAGUUUUUAAUUGUUUAGGGACCCUCAUAUCGGCAAAUGACAACAGACAAUGUCAUUGGACAUGGCCAGCUGUUUCACCUGUUUGACAUGUAGCAUGCAGCAUAUGAGAAUAAGUGUCUAUAGUCAUAUGAACAUAGCUAAGUUUGUCAAAGGCUGCUAUAUGUGUAACAUCAAUUUGCCAGAUUUCAUUUGGAGCUAAGCCUCGUGGGUUACAUCCUUCUACCGGUAUAACACCAGGGACAUGCUGACAAGUGGGGCAGGCUUGCACAAUAGCUCGAGCCUGGCUUCGAGGCAGAUGAAACAUACAAGUAAGGGCAGAGGUGUUUUGAUGCAGUAAUGCAUGAGAGGCUUCAGCUUGCUGAAACACAGAACCAAUCAAUUUAUCUGCUCUAUCAUUACCUAGAGGUAGUGGUCCAGGAAGUUGUGUGUCAGAGCGAAUAUGAGAAAUUUGAAAAGGAGCAGCAUGAGAGCAAACAGCUCGCUGAAGUCUUAGAAACAAGUUAAACAGCUCUGGUUCUAGGGUGCUUUUAAUAGUAGCAGUCUCAAUGCGACUGGCUACAUUUACAACAUAGGCUAAAUCACAGACAAUAUUAAUAGGAGAGGAAGCAGUGAGCUGUAAAACCUGAAUAACUGCCAUUAAUUCUGAGCAUUGAGCUGAAACACCAGGGAUUUUUAUUGUUUUAAUAUGCUUAGGUCCAUAAAUAGAUGCUCAGACUUUGGAAGAGCCGUCAGUGAAAUAAGUCUGGCCACCUGGAAUAGGCUUGUGAUGAGUAAUCACAGGGAGGAUAAAAGGGUAAACUUUAUAAAAUUGCAAAACUUUGUCUGAUGGAUAAUGAUUAUCUAUUAUUCCUUUGCUUCAGCCAACAUCGUAGAGCGAUGAAGCUCAGUUCCCACAUCCUGACAAGCUUUGAUAAAAUUUCCUAAGCUUUUUAUACAUCUCACAGAUGCCAAUGCAUGUUUACAGUCCGUGUUUGCAUUCUCAAAAGCUAGUUAAGGUUAGCAUUUCUGUAGCCAUGGUAAGAGAAAUCUGACACUUCACUGCCUAUGGUAAUCUUGCAAGAAAAUGUGCAUAGAGCUCCUGUGACCCUUUCAUGAUAUGUAAGAGAUUGUACUGGGACCCUUUCCUCUGGAAUUGUGGCCCAGGUGCGUUUAACAGCCAAGGCACACUGCUUACAAGCAGCGUCUGGGAGUGCUAUUUGAUGUUCUAGGUCUGAAUAGGGGCCACUGCCUAACAGCAUCCUCUGUAAUGUCUCUGUGUCCAGCAGCACGAUUCUAUCUAGCCUGGUCUGCACACAGUUCUUGCCAAUUUAAAUACCAUAUCAGGUAUGCACUAGCAGACAAACAAGUGCAAGCCAAAUGCUUUACAUCAAAGGGUGGAAGGCGCAUAGCGCCAAAUAGAUUCUAGCAGUCCUAAAGUAAAUGGGCUUUGUAUUCCAUUAUUAACUACACUAGCUUUUAAUUCCUUCAGCAACUUAAAUUCUAGUGGGGUGUGUUCAUGAAUAAACUGCUGUGGAUUAUGUGGAUCAGGCCUUACGGAAAUAGGAAAAGCUCAAGGUCCUAAGGGUUCUCCAGCCAUAGCAGUAGAGUGUAAAGUUCUUUGUAUUGGGGUCUCUAUUUCUGCUACUGAAGGAGGCGGUUCAGAUGUUUCUGCUACUAGAGGGGGUGACACAGGCCAAUUUUCAUCCUCCUGCUCCUGUUUAUUAUUUUUAAUUGGCGCUGUUGAGAGAACAGAAAGAUUCUUUCAAAUUUUUUGACUCUGAACAUGACUCCUGCUGUCUAGCAGAAUAAGAAAUGAAUAAUGGCAGGAUGAACUAAACUCCAAAUAUAAAAAAGAAAAUAGCCAAAUUCUUCCCCCAUGUUACCCUGAUUCAGAAACUUCCCGUUCCCAGUACCUCUUUAGGGCACUGACCUUAUAUUAGCUGUCAGCAGACUCGUCGCAGGGUUUCUCAUUCUCGUUCUUCUUGUCAGUGUCAGUUUCUCUGCUCCAGCAGACCUUCACUCACGUCCCUGUCCUAGGUGCCAGUUGUCGCUGUUGGUUGUUAUGGGAGUGAACGAAGGGGGAUGAAUGCAGAAACGAAGACAAAGACAAAAAGUAUUUUUGGAAGAAGGGGUCAGGGGGCUCCUUCUAGUGAGCAAGGGCCCUGAGCUUCUACAGCCCUUCGUAUUUAUUAGGUAGAAAGAGCAGGGAGGGAGAGGUAGCAGUUGGUCAGUUGCUUGAUUUAUCACAGGUAUACAUAAUUGCUUUCUUUGUACAACAGGCUUCAGAUGUUCCUAUAGAUAAUCACAAGGAACACUGUGCUUGGGGUGUGACUGCCCUCAGCAACCCUUCUGGCAGCAGACACAGUUGUUAGUUUUCCAACAUCCUGCUUUCAUGAGAACAGUUUUCUAUUUGCUCAUAUAGCCUCCAGUGGUAUACUGAGUUGGUCACGACCCUCAUUCUUUCGGCCUGUAACAGGCUCAUGCCUGUAAUGCCAGCACUUUUGGAGGCCGAGGCAAGAGGAUAGCUUGAGCUCAGGAGUUGGAGACCAGCCUGGGCAACACGGUGAAACCCCAUCUCUGCAAAAAUUAGCCUGGUGUGGUGGGGUGCGCCUGUAGUCUCAGCUGCUUGUGGGGCUGAGGCGGGAGAAUAGCUUGAGCUCCAGGGGUCGAGGCUGCAGUGAGCCAUAAUGGUGCUGCUGCAUUCCAGCCUGGGUGACAAAGUGAGACUAUCUCAAAAAAAAAAACGGCUGUUAGAUAAAAAUGAAGACAAACAACAUUUGCAAGGAUAUAAAUCUUAACCCAUUUAUUGGGGGUAUAGGCUCUGGUGUCAGAUUUCCAUCUGUCCUGUAUUUUGUAACCACAAAAUUGUCCUGGCUGGAUUAAUUGUAAGGAAGUCCCUUUAAACACAUCUAGACUUCCAAAGUUUGUUUACAUACUAAUUAGUUGUCAUGAAAAGCUGCAUUCAACCCAGGGUCUGAGAUGCCUUUUGUAUAUGAAAAGUGCUUCUCUUUCUGACACUGACUGAAUUACAUACAUAACAGAUUCAUUUAUUUAAAAACAAUUUAAGAGGCUUUUUCUAUAAUGCUGAACCUGCUGUGUGGUAUUUAUGUUUAAUUCUGGUCAAAUUUUCAAAACUAAUAAACACUGCAAUUCAAAACCAUUAAUUAUCAAGCAUAGACCAAGUAUCUGAGGUUAUGAGCACAUAUUUAAGAGGUUAGACUCUGGCAUUCCAGACAUUGCAAAUAAUACUUUUCUCAUUUCUAAAUUUCCUAGAAACAAGUGGAGAUUUGUAAAAGGAAAUAAUACUCUUUAAAACAUUUAUUUUUGACUCAGGAUCUGGCUCUGUUGCCCUAGCUAGAGUGCAGUGGUGCCAUCAUCACAGCUCACACAAUAGCCUGGAACUACUGGGCUCAAACCAUCCUCCCACCUCAGCCUCCCAAGUAGCUGGGACUGCAGAUGCAGGCCAUCAUGUCCCGCUAAGUUUUAUUUUAUUUUUGUAGAGACAGAGUCUAUGUUGCUCAGGCUGGUCCUGAACUCCCGGCAUCAAGUGAUCCUCCCACCUCCCAAUAAAACAUGUACUGAUGGCCAGGCACUUGGCUCACGCCUGUAAUCCCAGCACUUUGGGAGGCCGAGGCGGGCAGAUCAUGAGGUCAAGAGAUCAAGACCAUUCUGGCCAACAUGGUGAAACCCUGUCUCUACUAAAAAUACAAAAAUUAGCCAGGUGUGGUGGCACGCGCCGGUAGUCUCAGCUACUCCGGAGGCCGAGGCAGGAUAAUUGCUUGAACCCCAGAGGCGGAGGUUGCAGUGAGCCGAGAUCGUGCCACUGCACUCCAGCCUGGCGACAGAGCAAGACUCUGUCUCAAAAAAAAAAAAAAAACCAAAAACCAAAAAAUCAAAACCAAAACCAUGUAUUGAUAUCAAAGUUUUUUUAUCCUGGCAGGGCACAGUGGCUCACGCCUGUAAUCCCAGCACUUUGGGAGGCUGAGGCAGGUGGAUCACGAGGUCAGGAGUUCAAGACCAGCCUGGCCAAGAUGGUGAAGACCCGUCUCUACUAAAAAUACAAAAAUUAGCCAGGCGCAGUGGCAGGCGCCUGUAAUCCCAGCUACUCGGGAGGCUGAGGCAGGAGAAUCGUUUGAAACCAGGAGGGUAGAGGUUGCAGUGAGCCAAGAUUGUGCCACUGUACUCCAGCCUGGGUGACAGAGUGAUACUAUGUCUCAAAAAAAAAAAAAAAAAAAAAAGAAAAAGAAAAAAGAAAGAAAGUUGCUUUAUCUUUAAAACUAUAUAUAUUGUUUUCACCCCUACAUAGUCCUUGCCUCCCAGACAUCUCCUCACUAACGUCAGUAGACAAUUUGGCAUCUGAUGGUUUGAAAUAGUUUCUGUAAUCAAAUCCUGAAUAAAAUCCAUUUUAAAGC